CAAUCUGCCUUGGAGUGGGGAAUAACGGUUGGAAACAGCCGCUAAUACCGCAUGAUGCGUCUGGGAGGCAUCUCUCUGGACGCCAAAGAUUUAUCGCUCUGAGAUGAGCUCGCGUCUGAUUAGCUAGUUGGCGGGGCAACGGCCCACCAAGGCGUCGAUCAGUAGCCGGACUGAGAGGUUGGCCGGCCACAUUGGGACUGAGACACGGCCCAGACUCCUACGGAAGGCAGCAG
RNAcentral lists this ribosomal RNA (233 nucleotides) under uncultured bacterium. Its description in RNAcentral is "partial 16S ribosomal RNA". It matches the Rfam family "Bacterial small subunit ribosomal RNA", at positions 122 to 354 of the family's 1533-position model. The record is from RNAcentral.